AUACGUAAGGGGCGAGCGUUGUCCGGAUUCACUGGGCGUAAAGGGCGCGUAGGCGGCGAUACAAGUCAGAGGUGAAAGCUAUGGGCUCAACCCAUAAACGGCCUUUGAAACUGUAUUGCUUGAGUAUUGCAGAGGAAAGUGGAAUUCAUGGUGUAGCGGUGAAAUGCGUAGAUAUCAUGGAGAACACCUAUGGCGAAGGCAGCUUUCUGGGCAAAUACUGACGCUGAGGCGCGAAAGCUAGGGUAGCGAACAGGAUUAGAAACCCGGGUAGUCC
RNAcentral lists this ribosomal RNA (274 nucleotides) under uncultured bacterium. RNAcentral's name for it is "partial 16S ribosomal RNA". It matches the Rfam family "Bacterial small subunit ribosomal RNA", at positions 523 to 796 of the family's 1533-position model. The record is from RNAcentral.